This 338-nucleotide ribosomal RNA is filed under the name Procryptocerus batesi. RNAcentral describes it as "partial 12S ribosomal RNA". The record is from RNAcentral. Lineage: Eukaryota; Metazoa; Arthropoda; Insecta; Hymenoptera; Formicidae.
UUUUAAAAUAAAGUAAAAAAUGCUGAGGAUUAAAUGUAAACAUUAAAUUUAAAUAAUUUGGCGGUAUUAUAAAUAGUUAGAGGAAUUUGCUAAGUAAAUGAUAAUCCACGAGUGGAGGAACCUAAUGAAGUUUUUAUGUAUUGUUGUUUUAAAAUUGUUUUAAGAGGGAUAUAAUUGAUUUUCUGGAUUAAGAAUUAAUUCAAAUCAAAAUGUAGAAUUAUUAGGGUUGGGUGAAUUACAAUUUAUUAAAAUGAGUUUAUAGAUUUAAUUUUAUAAAUAAAGUGGAUUUAAUAGUAAAUUUAUAGAAUUAUAUAAAUUGAAAUAAAACUUAUGGUAUG